GUGAUGGCACGUAGCUGGACAUUGAUCGCUAGACCAUAAUUAUUGUUUGCAGAUCUGCUCAGUGGCAUCCGCCACACCAAGACGAUUAUAUUUUCCAUCAUAAAAUUAAAUCUUUUUUUGAACGGCUU
Molecule: non-coding RNA, 128 nt
Organism: Glossina fuscipes fuscipes
Lineage: Eukaryota; Metazoa; Arthropoda; Insecta; Diptera; Glossinidae
Source: Rfam